AUGGAAACGAAAGCGGCCAAGUAGCGCUGCGUCCUGACGCGCCGGCUCUAGUGGGCUCUGGUCAGACACGCGCAGCGGACAACGAUGCUGAAGGCCAAGAUCCUCUUCGUGGGGCCUUCCAAGACCUUGAUUCCAACCACUGCCCGGAGGAGGUAGCGGAGGGGAGCCAGGUGUUAAUGAGCCCCGAAGGCCCAAGGUACUGAGUGGCAUCGUUGGAACCACAGCCUAGGUCUCGUGAGUCUUUCCUUUGCCCCCCGGGAUCCCCCUAAUGAAUGCGUCUGUGGGUCUGGACUUUUGUUUGUUUGAGGCAGGGUCUCGCCCUGUCGUCCAGGCUGGAGUGCAGUGAUCAUAGCUCACUGCAGGCUCGACUUCCCUGGGCUCAAGCAGUUCUCCUGCCUCAGCCUCCUGAGUACCUGGUACUACAGGCGUGCACCACCAUGCCCGACUAAAUUUGUUGUUGGUUUUUUUUUUUUUUGAGACAGUCUCGCUCUGUCACCCAGGCUAGAGUGCAGUGGCAUGAUCUUGGCCCACUGCAGCCUCCACCUCCCGGGUUCAAGCGAUUCUCCUGCCUCAGCCUCCUGAGUAGCUGGGAUUACAGGCCCACACCACCAGCCCUGGCUACUUUUUGUAUUUUUUGUAGAGAUGGGUUUUCACCAUAUUGGCUAGGCUGGUCUCUAACUCCUGACCUCAAGUGAUCCGCCCGCCUCAGCCUCCCAAAUUGCUGGGAUUACACAGAUAAGCCACCACGCCUGGCCUAAAUUUGUCAAUUAGAGACAGGAUCUCGGUAUAUUGCCUAGUACCAAGGCUGGUCUCCAACUCCUUGGAUCAGACAGUCCUCCCGCCUCAGCCUCCCAGAGUUCUGGGAUUACAGGCGUAAGCCAUUGCUCAAGGCCUGGGCUUUUUACUAUAUGGUCCUGGAACCAUUGGCUAUUAAUGUGUAUGUUAGGGGAAUGGUAGUGGCGAUCACAUCUACAUGUAUACUUCACAUCAUCCACAGAAGUAAAGCUCAGAUGGCCUAAAGCUAAAUGCGUUAAAAAAAAAAAAAAAAAAAAAAAAAAGCCCAGGUGCAGCGGCUCAUGCCUGCAAUCCCAGCACUUUGGAGACCGAGGCUGCUGGAUCGCCUGAGGUCAGGAGUUCGAGACCAGCUGGACUAACAUGGUGAAACCCCAUCGCUACUAAAAAUACAAAAAUAAGCUGGGCAUGGUGGCGCAUGCCUGUAAUUUCAGCUACUCGGAAGGCUGAGGCAGGAGAAUCACUUGAAUCCGGGAGGCAGAGGUUGCAGUGAGCCAAGAUUGCACCAUUGCACUCCAGCCUGGGCAACAAGAGUGAAACUCUGUCUUAAAAAAAAAAAAAAAAAAAGCUGGGCAUGGUGGUUCACACCUGUAAUCCCAGAACUUUGGGAGGCCGAGGCGGGUGGAUCACAAGGUCAGGAGAUCGAGACCAUCCUGGCUAACAUGGUGAAACCCUGUCUCUACUAAAAAUAAAAAUAAAUUAGCCGGGCAUGGUGGUGGGCACCUGUAGUCCCAGCUACUCAGGAGGCUGACGCAGGAGAAUGGCGUGAACCUUGGAGGCAGAGCUUGCAGUGAGCUGAGAUUGCACCACUGCACUCCAGCCUGGGCGACAGAGUGAGACUCCGUCUCAAAAACAAACAAAAAACCCUGCACAAACCUGUAGAAGUCUUAGGCCAGGCACAGUGGCUAACACCUGCCAGCAUUUUGGGAGGCCGAGGUGGGGAGAUCACUUGAGCUCAGGCAUUCAAGACCAGCCUGGGCAACAUAGGAAAACCCCAUUUGUACAAUACAAAAAUUAGCGGGGUGUGGUGGCACACACCUGUAGUCCCAGCUACUCAGGAGGCUGAGGUGGGAGGAUCAUUUGAGCCCUACAGAUCGAGGCUGCAGUGAGCUAUGAUAGCAUUGCUGCACUCCAGCCUGGGCAACAAAUAAGACCCUAUCUCAAAAAAAAAAAAAAAAAAGCAGUGUGUGUUAC
Molecule: long non-coding RNA, 1986 nt
Organism: Symphalangus syndactylus (siamang)
Lineage: Eukaryota; Metazoa; Chordata; Mammalia; Primates; Hylobatidae
Source: RefSeq, a predicted model, not a curated record